Molecule: unclassified non-coding RNA, 399 nt
Filed under: soil metagenome
Description: partial contains 5.8S ribosomal RNA, internal transcribed spacer 2, and large subunit ribosomal RNA
Rfam family: 5.8S ribosomal RNA (bases 1-120)
Source: RNAcentral
GAUGAAGAACGUAGCGAAAUGCGAUACUUGGUGUGAAUUGCAGAAUCCCGUGAACCAUCGAGUCUUUGAACGCAAGUUGCGCCCGAAGCCUCGGCUAAGGGCACGUCUGCCUGGGCGUCACGCAUCGCGUCUCCCCCAAACCACCAAGGCGGAGGGGAAGGAAGAUGGCUUCCCGUGCCUCACCCGGCGCGGUUGGCCUAAAUUUGGAGCCCGCGGCACUUAGCUCACGCGGCGAUAGGUGGUGAACAAGGCCUUGGCCGUGCAAACAACCCGCUGCGAAGCUCUAUGUCACGUGCGCUCGUCGGACCCUUUGAAGUUGCCUUCGGUGACUUAAAACCUUUGCGACCCCAGGUCAGGCGGGGCUACCCGCUGAAUUUAAGCAUAUCAAUAAGCGGAGGA